RNAcentral lists this transfer RNA (73 nucleotides) under bacterium. Its description in RNAcentral is "tRNA-Gly". It matches the Rfam family "tRNA". From Rfam's summary of the family: Transfer RNA (tRNA) molecules are approximately 80 nucleotides in length. Their secondary structure includes four short double-helical elements and three loops (D, anti-codon, and T loops). The record is from RNAcentral.
GCGAGAGUAACUCAGCUGGUAGAGUACCACGUUGCCAAUGUGGUUGUCGCGGGUUCGAACCCCGUCUCUCGCU